CGACGCCGCGUGGGUGAAGAAUGCAGAGAUGUUGUAAAGCCCUUUUCUCAUAGAAGAAUAAGUUUCCGAGGAAAUGCGGGAACGAUGACGUUAUAUGAGGAAUAAGCUCCGGCCAAUUACGUGCCAGCAGCCGCGGUAACACGUAAGGAGCGAGCGUUGUUCGGAAUUAUUGGGCGUAAAGGGCUCGUAGGCGGCCGUCCAAGUCCCCCGUGAAAGACCAGGGCUCAACCCUGGGAAUGCGAGGGAAACUGUUCGGCUUGAAUCUUGGAGGGGGUACUGGAAUUCCUGGUGUAGGGGUGAAAUCUGUUGAUAUCAGGAAGAACACCGGAGGCGAAGGCGAGUACCUGGCCAAAGAUUGACGCUGAUGAGCGAAAGCGUAGGUAGCAAACAGGAUUAGAUACCCUGGUAGUCUACGCCGUAAACGAUGUACACUUGAUGGCGGUCCCGUACGGGGUCGCUGUCGAAGCUAACGC
RNAcentral lists this ribosomal RNA (473 nucleotides) under uncultured bacterium. Its description in RNAcentral is "bacterial SSU rRNA". It matches the Rfam family "Bacterial small subunit ribosomal RNA", at positions 392 to 858 of the family's 1533-position model. The record is from RNAcentral.